RNAcentral lists this ribosomal RNA (442 nucleotides) under uncultured bacterium. RNAcentral describes it as "partial 16S ribosomal RNA". It matches the Rfam family "Bacterial small subunit ribosomal RNA", at positions 338 to 795 of the family's 1533-position model. The record is from RNAcentral.
CCUACGGGAGGCAGCAGUGGGGAAUAUUGGGCAAUGGGCGCAAGCCUGACCCAGCAACGCCGCGUGAAGGAAGAAGGCUUUCGGGUUGUAAACUUCUUUUCUGGGGGACGAACAAAUGACGGUACCUCAGGAAUAAGCCACGGCUAACUACGUGCCAGCAGCCGCGGUAAUACGUAGGUGGCAAGCGUUAUCCGGAUUUAUUGGGUGUAAAGGGCGUGUAGGCGGGAAUGCAAGUCAGAUGUGAAAACUCAGGGCUCAACCCUGAGCCUGUAUUUGAAACUGUGUGUCUUGAGUGCUGGAGAGGCAAUCGGAAUUCCGGGUGUAGCGGUGAAAUGCGUAGAUAUACGGAGGAACACCAGUGGCGAAGGCGGAUUGCUGGACAGUAACUGACGCUGAGGCGCGAAAGCGUGGGGAGCAAACAGGAUUAGAUACCCCAGUAGUC